CAGAACGAACGCUGGCGGCGUGCUUAACACAUGCAAGUCGAGUGCACAGUUGGUAGCAAUACCGAUGGGUGCACGGCGCACGGGUGCGUAACACGUGGGCAAUCUGCCCUCCGAUGGGGAAUAACCCCCGCGAAAGCGGGGCUAAUUCCGCAUAACAUUCCUUGGACGAUGGUCUGGGGAUUCAAAGCCGUAAGGCGUCGGAGGAGGAGCCCGCGCCCGAUUAGCUAGUUGGUGAGGUAAUGGCUCACCAAGGCAAUGAUCGGUAGCUGGUCUGAGAGGAUGGCCAGCCACACUGGAACUGAGACACGGUCCAGACUCCUACGGGAGGCAGCAGUGGGGAAUCUUGCGCAAUGGGCGAAAGCCUGACGCAGCCGACGCCGCGUGGGGGAUGAAGCUUCUCGGAGUGUAAACCCCUUUCGACUGGGACGAAUGCCUCGCAAGAGGAGUGACGGUACCAGUAGAAGAAGCCCCGGCUAACUACGUGCCAGCCGCCGC
RNAcentral lists this ribosomal RNA (495 nucleotides) under uncultured bacterium. RNAcentral describes it as "bacterial SSU rRNA". It matches the Rfam family "Bacterial small subunit ribosomal RNA", at positions 25 to 518 of the family's 1533-position model. The record is from RNAcentral.